This 346-nucleotide ribosomal RNA is filed under the name uncultured bacterium. RNAcentral describes it as "partial 16S ribosomal RNA". It matches the Rfam family "Bacterial small subunit ribosomal RNA", at positions 338 to 681 of the family's 1533-position model. The record is from RNAcentral.
CCUACGGGCGGCAGCAGUGAGGAAUAUUGGUCAAUGGGCGCGAGCCUGAACCAGCCAAGUAGCGUGAAGGAUGACGGCCCUACGGGUUGUAAACUUCUUUUAUAAAGGAAUAAAGUGAGGCACGUGUGCCUGUUUGUAUGUACUUUAUGAAUAAGGAUCGGCUAACUCCGUGCCAGCAGCCGCGGUAAUACGGAGGAUCCGAGCGUUAUCCGGAUUUAUUGGGUUUAAAGGGAGCGUAGAUGGGUUGUUAAGUCAGUUGGGCAAGUUUGCGUCUCAACCGUAAAAUUGCAAGUGAUACUGGCAGCCUUGAGUACAGUUGCGGUAGGCGGAAUUCGUGUUGUAGCGG